CUUUGUUCCGUUGCUGGCAAGGAGCUGCGAUCCUUUGGAGGAGAAGUGGUGCUCUGAUUUUUAGAAUUUUCAGCUUUUCUGCUUGAUUUCUCCCCAUCUUUGUGAUUUUUAUCUACCUUUGGUCUUUGAUGUUGGUGACCUACAGAUCGGCCAAGUUCAAGUGAUUCUCCUGUCUCAGCCUCCUGAGUAGCUGGGAUUAUAGGCAUGUGCCACCACACCCAGUUCAGUUGGAAUAAUAAUGAUUCUCUACCUCCAGAACAGAGUGGUGCUGGCCUCAUCAGAGAUGGAAUGGCAACCUCUGUGCUAUACGAGCAGUGUAAGAGAUUUUCAAAGGUAAUUUUGCCAAAACCCUCAUGGAAGAUGGAGCUCCAUUAUACUCUCAGCUGGGGAAUUAUGCAAAGGGUUCCAUAAACAACAGGCAACAGAGCAAGACUCUGUCUCAAAAAAAAAAAAAAAAAAUAUAUAUAUAUAUAUAUAUAUUGCUGUCACUUAAGCAUGUUUGAGCUAGAGUGCUGGAGAUAAGUGUCCCAGCCAACAGCCAGCACCAACUGCCAGAUAUGUGAAACCACUGUAGACCAUCUGGCUCCAAAUGAAUAACCAGAUGACGACUUCAGUAGAAUGAGGCAUCCCAAGACCAGCAGAAGAACCCCCUAGCUGAGCUCAGCCCAACCUGCUGACCCAAAAAACUACGAGCAAGUGAAUGGUGGUUGUUUUCAGUCACUUAAGUUUUAAGGUGUUCUAUGAUGCAGAAACAAAUAACUGACACAAUUUAAAACUAUGUCUGCAACAUAUUAAAUGCUAUAUAAGUACCUGUUAAUACAUCUAUCUUUUUAAAAAUUUUUAUUUUAAAUUUUUCUGGGUACAUAGUAGGUGUACAUAUUUAUGGGAAUAAAUUCAUCUUUUUAUUCCCAGCACUUUGCAUAAGGUACAUAUCGACUCUCAAAAAUGAUUAUGAGUGAAUUUUUGUCUAGGAAAGGUUCGUGUUUGACUUCAGUUUCUGCUUUGGAAAAUAAGCAGCCAAAAUUAUUUUUCACUGGCAACCAAAGGAGACAAAUGGAAGAAUAGCUGACAUUACUCUGCAAUUUUUUUAAAAAAAGGUACAAUGUGUAAUAACCCUCUCUUUCCCUUUGCUCAAGUAUAUCCUCUUUUAUUCUUACACUUCUACGGGUGGAAUUCAUUAAAAUUACAGCAAAUAAAGGCAGUGUGAGAGGCCCCCUGAGGGCACAUCUGUAAUUCUUGUUAAAGUUAAUGAGAGUCUAGUACACAGCUUCAAGCAAAAGAGAGGCCAAAGGGGGAAACAAAUAUGGGGAAAAGACUUUGAGCCUGAAUUCCAGGCCCCACUAUUCGAAGUGGUAGGUUUCACGGCUGACAUUGAAAAUAAACAUUCAACGGCUACCCUCUUUUGAUAUUCCACUGCCUCAGGCUCCCAAUGUGAGGCUCCAAUCAGAGAGGUGGAGCAACAAAAAGCACAUUUAACUUAACAGAAAAAAAUUGAAAGCAGGAAGAAUUAAGCAUCCACAGGGCCGGGGCUGUGGAGUGCCCUGCUGGGAACUGGACUGGAUCCUUGAGCAAUGAGGAGUAAUCCACAACAAAAUGCGGUCUGUGUUUUAGAAAAAUAAUUACAGCACACAGAGGAGAGACUGGGGGGUGAAGAAACUGGGAACGCACAGACCUGCUGGAAAGCUCUUAUGAAGA
RNAcentral lists this long non-coding RNA (1695 nucleotides) under Homo sapiens (human). RNAcentral describes it as "non-protein coding lnc-GNAQ-8:1". Lineage: Eukaryota; Metazoa; Chordata; Mammalia; Primates; Hominidae. The record is from RNAcentral.